Molecule: non-coding RNA, 21 nt
Organism: Caenorhabditis elegans
Lineage: Eukaryota; Metazoa; Nematoda; Chromadorea; Rhabditida; Rhabditidae
Source: Ensembl
UCACAAUGGCAUGGUGGUAUU